UUCUUUGGUUGCUUUGUUUACCAAUCCCAAAUUCCAUUGGAUUGAGAAGAUGAGAAGAUUCAAAUAAGAUUAUUCAUUAAAGCCAAACAAGAGAGUAGGAUUAAAGUUACUUGUUCUCACAAAUUUAUUUAUUUAAUAGACAACUUAAUACCCAAAAAGAUAUAAGUCUUGUGAGAAACUAGGGCAACAAAUGGUUCUUGUUGCACAUCUUGGUACAACCCUCCACACAGCUUUCAUGUUUUGUGACCCCUAACCAAAAAGAAACAUGAAAAGCAAUAAGAUGAAACAUUGAGAAAAUGAGAGGGAAAAAUGUAUUUCUACAUAAUAAAUAUGAAAUUAAUAAUAAAAUUCUAAAACUCUUUACAUUCAUAGAUUAAAGAUGAUAUUUAAGGUGGUCAAAAUUAAUAUUUAUAUUAUUAAAAGAUAGCACCUCAAUGAUAAAAAAUAAGGAUUUGUUUGGUAAUCAUUUUUCAAAAUAUUUCUAAAAACAAUUUUUUAGAACAGACUUUAAAUUUUUUUUUUUAAUAUUUUGUUAAAAAAACUAUUUGAAAACUUAAAAUAUUUUUAACUUAUUUUUAAAUAAUUUUUAUAUAUAAUUUUUUUUAAUUAUUCAAUAUGUUUGUACUGUCAAACAUAUUUUUUAAUUUUUUAUUCUAAAAAUAGAAAAUUGUUCUUGAUAACAUGAUUGAAAAAUAUACAAAAUUUUAAUUAUUUGUAUAUAGAUAUAAAAAGUUUGGAUUUUAUAAAUCGAGAUUCUUAUUUUAUGGAUUUUAUUUUUUUUAAUAAGAGCAUGAAAACACACUUUCCACUAAAGAGAGAAAGGGCAAGAAAAGUACCAAGCUUUUGAUCGCCGCAAAAUUUCGAUGCACAACUAGAUUCGCAAGAGUGAAUGAGGGUGUGUGAAGGAGAUCCCCCACUACAUUGUACGUCACAUCGUAGUUGGCACAUCAAAGGAUCAUGAAGUCGGGGUAGACAAAGUGAAUAGCAUUCCUUGUAGCAAUUGGAAGCCGCACUGGACUGCCCUACAAUCAUCCAAAACACCAAACAAAUUGUUGCGACAGCCUUGAGUCUCCCCACCUCCAUAUUCUAUCUCAACAAAUUCUGCCUGCUUUCCUCUGUAUAAUCUCUACUCCCACAAGAAGAAAUGUUGGGAAUGAUUC
Molecule: long non-coding RNA, 1160 nt
Filed under: Vitis vinifera (wine grape)
Lineage: Eukaryota; Viridiplantae; Streptophyta; Magnoliopsida; Vitales; Vitaceae
Description: long non-coding RNA (VVIN_LNC000702)
Source: RNAcentral